GCUGUGUUGAGAAGCAUGGUGGACAUAUCAGAAGUGCGAAUGCUGACAUGAGUAACGAUAAGAGGGGUGAAAAACCCCUCCGCCGAAAGAUCAAGGUUUCCUGUCCAACGUUAAUCGGGACAGGGUGAGUCGGCCCCUAAGGCGAGGGCGAAGGCCGUAGUCGAUGGGAAAUCGGUUAAAAUUCCGAUACCGACUCUUACUGCGAUGGGGUGACGGAGAAGGCUAGGCUAGCGCGGCGAUGGUUGUCCGCGUUUAAGCGUGUAGGUAGGGGGAUUAGGUAAAUCCGGUCCCUCGUUAAUCUGAGACGUGAUGACGAUCUCCUGGGGAGACCCUCGAGAGAAGUAGUCGAUGCCAUACUUCCAGGAAAAACCUCUAAGCUUCAGGUAAGAGUUGACCGUACUGUAAACCGACACAGGUGAUCAGGUAGAGAAUACCAAGGCGCUUGAGAGAACUUGGGUGAAGGAACUAGGCAAAAUGGUACCGUA
This 485-nucleotide ribosomal RNA is filed under the name Alexandrium margalefii. Its description in RNAcentral is "partial Bacterial large subunit ribosomal RNA". It matches the Rfam family "Bacterial large subunit ribosomal RNA", at positions 1255 to 1732 of the family's 2925-position model. Lineage: Eukaryota; Dinophyceae; Gonyaulacales; Pyrocystaceae. The record is from RNAcentral.